RNAcentral lists this non-coding RNA (149 nucleotides) under Kineosphaera limosa. RNAcentral's name for it is "FMN sequence". It matches the Rfam family "FMN riboswitch aptamer (RFN element)". From Rfam's summary of the family: The RFN element is a highly conserved domain that is found frequently in the 5'-untranslated regions of prokaryotic mRNAs that encode for flavin mononucleotide (FMN) biosynthesis and transport proteins. This element is a metabolite-dependent riboswitch that directly binds FMN in the absence of proteins. RNAcentral also lists the same sequence under 1 other name. Lineage: Bacteria; Bacillati; Actinomycetota; Actinomycetes; Micrococcales; Dermatophilaceae. The record is from RNAcentral.
GCACGUGCUCCGGGGUCGGUGUAAUUCCGAACCGGCGGUGAUAGUCCGCGACCCGCGGCCACGGGCCUCCAACCGGAGGUCGGUGGGGCGGUUGAUCUGGUGAAAUUCCAGAACCGACGGUGAAAGUCCGGAUGAGAGGCAGCACGUGC